RNAcentral lists this ribosomal RNA (119 nucleotides) under Calidris pygmaea (Spoon-billed sandpiper). Lineage: Eukaryota; Metazoa; Chordata; Aves; Charadriiformes; Scolopacidae. The record is from RNAcentral.
ACUUUAGGCCAUGACACCUAAAAAACCAACAAUGUAAUUUCACCAAGCAUGAUAAGCAGGGUCGGGCCUUCAAAGUACUUGGCUGGGAGACUGCCUGGGAAUACCGGGUGCUGUAAGCA